This 256-nucleotide ribosomal RNA is filed under the name uncultured bacterium. Its description in RNAcentral is "partial small subunit ribosomal RNA". It matches the Rfam family "Bacterial small subunit ribosomal RNA", at positions 26 to 286 of the family's 1533-position model. The record is from RNAcentral.
AGGACGGACGCUGGCGGCGUGCUUAACACAUGCAAGUCGAGCGGAAAGGCCCUUCGGGGUACUCGAGCGGCGAACGGGUGAGUAACACGUGAGCAACCUGCCCUUGGCUCUGGGAUAGCCUCCGGAAACGGGGAUUAAUACCGGACAUUCACUUUCUCCUGCAUGGGGGUUGGUGGAAAGUUUUUCGGCCAGGGAGGGGCUCGCGGCCUAUCAGCUUGUUGGCGGGGUAACGGCCCACCAAGGCGACGACGGGUAG